Molecule: ribosomal RNA, 497 nt
Filed under: uncultured bacterium
Lineage: Bacteria
Description: partial 16S ribosomal RNA
Rfam family: Bacterial small subunit ribosomal RNA
Source: RNAcentral
GAUGAACGCUGGCGGCGUGCCUAAUACAUGCAAGUCGAGCGAACGGACGAGAAGCUUGCUUCUCUGAUGUUAGCGGCGGACGGGUGAGUAACACGUGGAUAACCUACCUAUAAGACUGGGAUAACUUCGGGAAACCGUAGCUAAUACCGGAUAAUAUUUUGAACCGCAUGGUUCAAAAGUGAAAGACGGUCUUGCUGUCACUUAUAGAUGGAUCCGCGCUGCAUUAGCUAGUUGGUAAGGUAACGGCUUACCAAGGCAACGAUGCAUAGCCGACCUGAGAGGGUGAUCGGCCACACUGGAACUGAGACACGGUCCAGACUCCUACGGGAGGCAGCAGUAGGGAAUCUUCCACAAUGGGCGAAAGCCUGACGGAGCAACGCCGCGUGAGUGAUGAAGGUCUUCGGAUCGUAAAACUCUGUUAUUAGGGAAGAACAUAUGUGUAAGUAACUGUGCACCUCUUGACGGUACCUAAUCAGAAAGCCACGGCUAACUACGUG